Molecule: small nuclear RNA, 103 nt
Organism: Cryptomeria japonica (Japanese cedar)
Lineage: Eukaryota; Viridiplantae; Streptophyta; Pinopsida; Cupressales; Cupressaceae
Source: RefSeq, a predicted model, not a curated record
GUAUCUUGGAAGACAUCCAAUAAAAUAGGAAUGAUACAAAGAAGAUUAGCAUGGCCACUACACAAGGAUGACAUGCAUAAAUCGAGAAAUGGUUCAAAAAAAA